Small nuclear RNA from Phocoena sinus (vaquita), 105 nucleotides. The record is from Ensembl. Lineage: Eukaryota; Metazoa; Chordata; Mammalia; Artiodactyla; Phocoenidae.
GUGCUCGCUUCGGCAGCACAUAUACUAAAAUUGGAACGAUAGAGAAGAUUAGCAUGGCCGCUGCGCAAGGAUGACAUGCAAAUUCGUGAAGUGUUCUAUACUUUU